CGCUGGAGCACAGAGCCUGAGACAGACACACCAGACCUGACAUGGAAGAGACAGAGGGAAGCAGAUACCAGGGGUCCAGAUGGCAAAAUGGAAAAAAAAAAAAUUAGAAAAACCAGAGCAUGCGAUAUUGUGUUCCUACAUAAUUCACACAGAUCUGGGAACUGCAGGGUUACUGUGCCGCUUGGAGAUGAAGCACUUCUUAAGUCAACAGACGGAGAGGAAGCAGCAAGGAGGAGACAAACCUUUCGAGGUGAGAGACGUCUUGGACAGGUUGAGGAGACGAAGACCUUUGCUGAGACGACACAGCUGCUGGAUCAAGUUGGACACGCCUGCACACAAGUGAUGCGAUAAAAGGGAUGGUUCUGUUUCUACAUACAGAAUGAGCUUUGAAAAAUGUUCUUUCAUGUCAUCACAUCAAAGCAGCUCCAGCAGUGAGAGACGAGCGCAGUGCGAGCACGUACCUUGGUUGUCCAGAGAGUUGUGGGACA
Non-coding RNA from Oryzias latipes (Japanese medaka), 488 nucleotides. Lineage: Eukaryota; Metazoa; Chordata; Actinopteri; Beloniformes; Adrianichthyidae. The record is from RefSeq and is a predicted model, not a curated record.